UACGAACUGUGCGAACGUUAUUCGGAAUCACUGGGCUUACAGGGUGCGUAGGCGGCCUUCCAAGUCAGGUGUGAAAUCCCACAGCUCAACUGUGGAACAGCGCUUGAAACUGGUUGGCUUGAGUCAGCUAGAGGUACACGGAACUUCCGGUGGAGCGGUGAAAUGUGUUGAUAUCGGAAGGAACACCAGAGGCGAAAGCGGUGUACUGGAGCUGGUCUGACGCUGAGGCACGAAAGCCAGGGGAGCGAACGGG
Molecule: ribosomal RNA, 253 nt
Filed under: uncultured bacterium
Lineage: Bacteria
Also listed under: 1 other name
Description: partial 16S ribosomal RNA
Rfam family: Bacterial small subunit ribosomal RNA
Source: RNAcentral